This is a non-coding RNA of Callithrix jacchus (white-tufted-ear marmoset), 8679 nucleotides long. NCBI's taxonomy places the organism in Eukaryota, Metazoa, Chordata, Mammalia, Primates, Cebidae. The record is from RefSeq and is a predicted model, not a curated record.
UUUCCAGGGACUGCCCCCCCACAUCCGCCGGAAGUGCGUCCGUCCGGGCGAGGAAGGAAGGAGGGCGCGGGACGCCGGAGGGAGCUGCCCCAGGUCGAAGCUCCCACGCUUGCAAUCCCGAGGGACCGCGGGCCAAGGGCGCAGUAAGGAAGCAAUGCAUGUUCACCGUAGAAAGACAACACCAAAAGGCAGAAAGAAGAAGAAAGAGAACACUUGAAUGCAUCACCCAGAGAAGAAAAAAGAGAACGCUUGAACGCAUCACCCAGAGAUAACCAAUGUGAAUGUGUUGGUGGAUAUCCUCUUAGACAUUCUUCUAUGUGACAGAAUAUAUCAUUUAUCUUUAGGGAAAAAAUAGAUUGAUUGCAUUUUCUAAGUGAGCUGGGAAAAUUUCUUUUGGCUUUCUUAUGACCGUGUUAUUAUUUCAUAAAAACCAUCAUUGUGCAGCCUUAGAAAACAUCCUUCCUUUAGUUCUUCAGGAAUGAGAAAUUACACGUAGGCAAUUUGUUCAACAUUUUUCAUUAUGUCAGCAUGAUCAGAUGCCAGAUCUCUGUUUGGAAUAAUUUGUGAAGGUAUGUUUUUUUGAUACUUUGCCAGGGAAAUCAUAACUCUUACAAUUCUCCAAUAACCCCAACCCCACAAUUGCAGUUAUGGAUAGAUAUUAUGUUCCAUGUUUUGUUGUCUUCUCACUGUUUCAGUAUCUGGGAUGAAUGCCAAAAGCUAUUCAGCCUCACUCCAUUUAUUAAAAGAGAGUGUCCAACUAAGUUUAUACAAUAGAGUUUAGAAAAAAAAAAGACCUUGUUUGUUUAUCAUUCUAGUUUGGUGUUUUUACAUGAGCAAGAAAGAAAGGUGUGGUUUCUAAAAUUCCUUGAUGAACUUGCCUGGUUGAGAAGUAGAGUAUCAUGGAUAACAGAAUUAAUUACCUGACACCUGAGCCACAAGCAGAGGUCCUUGCCUGUUCCAAACCAUCCUCCACACGCUGCCAAAGUUGUUUGUCUUCUAAAAUUCAAAUCGAUUGCUUUCCUCCUUAAAGCCUUUCAAUAGUCCUCUUUGCCUGCCCUACAGAAUUAAUUUAUGACUCUUCAGAAUGCAAAACAGGCUUUCUAUGAUCUGCCAGCCCUACUCUGAAAUUUUUUACUCCAGACAUAUUAAAGUACUUGGAAUUCCCUGUUAAUGUUGAUUUCACGCCCCUAUACAUUUCUUCCUGCUCCUCCCUCUUUUUGGAAUGCACUAUCAAACCAUGUCAGGUCAAGCAUCAUUUCCUCUGCAAAACCUUUCCUGACCUUCUCCACUGCCCUGCUUUCCCCACCUGGGGAAAAUAGGCUCUAUGCCUCAUUGCUUAUGCAUACAUAUGAGUAAUUGUAUCUCAUCAACACACUGUUGUACCUCUUGUUUUCACAUGAGCUUCUCCUCGUUAGACUAUAAACUCCAUUCACCAUCUUUCUGGAGCUAUCAUCUUUCAUUAACAACAUCUUAAUAAUUGCCUUUCAGCUAGCAGCCCGCCUGCCUCCACUCUUACCUGUUUUUGAAGUGAUUCUCCCCAUCUCCAGAUUAAGUGGGCUCGGCAAACUAUGCUUCCCUGUUUGAAAAGUGUGGUGGUGGGAACUGGGUGAAAUUAGCUCCAGGACACAACUAACAGUGGGGCUAGUUUAUUUGCUGCAGUAGGUAUCCAUGUGCUGAGAGAUUCCCAAGGACAGGGAGUGGGGAAGGAGUAGGAGUAAGUGGAGAAAGUAGGGGCUGAGAAACUAGGUAAAGAUUCAGAACCAGGUGCAGACAGGCAUACAAGUCACAAAUCCAAAAAGACCUAGUUAGCCACAGUUCAACCAGGGGUGCCAGAACUUGCAUGGGUAGGGUGUGCCAGGCAGUGUCAUUAGGAGCUUCCAUGUGGUCAAGGGUUAGAGUGGUCAUGAAGUAAAAAAAUGCUGUCCAGUGACCAAAAAUAUUUGCAAAAUUCUGAGUUUGGAGCCAAGAGGAACAUACACUGUAGGAGACAGAGUGAGCAGCCUGAGUCAGAAUCCAUUGCAUGAAAAGCUGAACUUUCAAAACAGUGCAGUUAUAUUUGGUGGUUUGCAAUCCCAAGUAAGUUCCUCCUUGACCACUAUAUUUAUUAAAGGGUUGUUUUCAAACGUCUUCCCCAAAUGGUAAAUGUAUUCCAAGUGGUUUAAAUUCACACUUCUGUCAACAGAAAUUUUACUUUUGUGGAUCUGCUGGGUGAGAAGUGAUAACUCAGGGUACUUCAGUUUGCAUCUUUCUGAUUAUUAUUAAGAUCAUGUACUUUUUCAUGUUUACUGUUUAGAUUUGCUUUUCUGAAAAUGCCUAUUCACACAUUCUUUAUUCAUUUUUCUAUGGAAUUUUUUUUCUUUUUCCUGAGAACUUUUGGUCACUCAUUUUAUACUAUAGAUAUUAACCUUUUUUUACAAAUACUGGAUAUUUCUUGAAGUCUACUAUAUAAUAACAUUAUUCUUUUCUUUAUGGUAUCUUUAACAUACACAUAUUUAAAACACUAUCUUUUCCUUUGCAACUCCCUGGUUUGCUAUUUAGGUUGAGAAUGUUUUCCUUCCUGUAGCGUAUAAAUUCAUUCUCUUAAAUUUUGUUCUAAAAUAUUUAUUGAUUUUUUACAGUUUCAUUUUUAAUCCAUAUGAAAUUUAACUUUGGAUAUGGAUUAAGUAGGCAUCUAAUUUUAUUUUCCUCUAGAUGGCUAUUUUAAAAUCCCAUGUAUACUAAGAUACAUUUUGGUACUCCCCAUUUUAAAGAUCUAUUUAUUUAUUUAUUUUUAUUCUUUUUUUUUGAGACGGAGUCUCGCUGUUGUUACUCAGGCUGGAGUGCAAUGGCACGAUCUCGGCUCACUACCACCUCCACCUCCUGGGUUCAGGCAAUUCUCCUCCCUCAGCCUCCUGAGUAGCUGGGAUUACAGGCAGCGCCACCGUGCCCAGCUAAUUUUUGUAUUUUUAGUAGAGAUGGGGUUUCACCAUGUUGACCAGGAUGGUCUUGAUCUCUUGACCUUGUGAUCCACCCGCCUCAGCCUCCCAAAGUGCUGGGAUUACAGAUCUAUUUAUUUUUCUAAGUAACACUAGCUAACAUGUAUCAGUGCAUAUACUACAGGUGUCAAAUACUGUCUUAGGUGCUUUACAUACUUUACCUCAUUUAAUCCUGGCAGCAGCACUGUGGGUAAAUUCUGUUCCACAUGAACUUUAAAAUGCCUUUAUCAAAGUAAAAAGAAACCAGUGGAGUUAUGGUUAGAAUUAUAUGAAAUUUAUACAUUAAUUUUUGGAGAAUUGACAUGCUUUAUACCUUUCGGUAAUAUUUUGUAAUUUUCUCCGUAUGUCUCAAACCUAUCUUGUCCAAUUUAGCCUUAAGCAGUCUGUACUUUUAUUGCACUUACAGGAAGAAUACAAUCAUACAUUGCUUACUGAUGGGGAUACGUUCCAAGAAAUGCAGCAUUAGGUGAUUUUGUCAUUGUGAAAAAUGUCAUCGUGUCCUUACAUAAACCUAGGUGAGGGAGCCCACUAACUAACACCUAGGUUGUAUGGUCUAGCCUAUUGCUCCUAGGUUACAAACCUGCAUAGCAUGUAACUGUAUGGAAUCCUGUAGGCCACUGUGAUACAGCGGUGUUUGCUUAUCUGCAUAUAUCUAAACAUGGAAAAGGAAGAGUAAAAAUAAAGUGUUGCAUUAUAAUCUAUGGGGUCAUCAUCGUAUGUGCAGUCCAUCAUUAACUGAAACGUCAUCAUGCAGCAUGUGACUGUUUUUCCAUUCUCACUCCUUUAUGGUUAUUGUUAUAAUUAUUCUUACAGAUGCAGUAAGGAUGGUAUGUAUAUCAGUCAGCUUUGUCUAAAUUACGCUGCAAUAACAAACAACCUGAAAAUCUCAGUGGCUUAUAACAACAAAAAAUGUCCUGCUCCUACCACAUGCCCCGCCCAAGCUGGCUGCAGCGCAGCUUCACAUCACCCUCACUGGGGCCCAGGCUAAUGAAGCCAUUGCUAUCAGGCACAUUCCAGUCUUGUAGUAGAGAGAAAAGGAGUCAAAGUAUAGCAUCUACUGGUUCUUAAAGCUCCUGUGAGGAAAUGUCACACAUCACUUCCCCUCAGGCUUUAUAAACCAAAGCAAGAAGUGCCCAUAUCUGACACGGAAGCAUCCGGGAUGCACAUAUUCCCCACAAGGAGGGGCCCUUCUAAUGCCCAGGCUGACACCUGAUCCUACCAGUGAGAUAGGAUCAGUACUCUUUCAACUUGAAGGGCAGCAAAUAUCUUGAUCAUUAAUACAAUGUAUCACAAUAUUUUGUUGUUAAGUUUGCAAGAUUGAGAAAUCCUAGAAAAUGAUACCUAUGCAAUAGACAUUUAUCUCCAUUAGACAAUAUGUGGUUCCUUUCUACUUUUAAGUAUGCAAGAAGAUAAUGCUUUUUCUUGUCUCUUAAAAUUAGAUACAGCCAGCCUGGUGUGAUGGCUCACACUUGUAAUCCCAGCACUUUGGGAGGCUGAGGCAGGUGUAUCACCUGAGGUUAGGAGUUCGAGACCAGACUGGCCAACAUGACAAAAUCUUGUCUCUACUAAAAUAUUAAAAAAAAAAAAAUAGCUGGGCAUGGUAGCAGGUGCCUGUAAUCCCAGCUACUAGGGAGGCUGAAGCAUUAGAAUCGCUUAAACCCUGGAGGCGUAGGUUGCAGUGAGCCAAUAUCGCACCACUGCACUCCAGCCUAGGGGAUAGAGCAAGACUGUCUCAAAAAAAAAAUUAGAUAUAGCCAUGUGACUAAUCCUGGCCAAUGAAAAUGUGAUUAGAAGUGAUGUGUGUUUCAUUCCUGCACAGAAGCAUUGAGGAGUUGGAGCAUGAUUCUCCAUAUCUUCCCUGGCAUAGUGAUAAUAGACAUAUAUGCUGAUGUAGAAGUACCAAGAGGGUAAAGUAGCUGGAAUGUCAUCAUAUAGAAGACAGUGGCUCUGAAUGUCAUCCAGAUAGAGUCUGUGGUUUUAAGUCACUGAGACUUAAGGGUUUUUUUGGGUUUUACUUUUUUAUUACUGUAACAUAGCCUUGCUUUAAUCAGGAUAGGCUAGGUUAUACUACAGUAAUAUGACAUUUAAAAUAUUUUAACAUAGGCUGGGUGCGGGGCUCACGCCUGUAAUCCCAGCACUUUGGGAGGCUGAGGCGGGUGGAUCACGAGAUCAAGAGAUCGAGACCAUUCUGGUCAACAUGGUGAAACCCUGUCUCUACCAAAAAUACUAUAAAUUAGCUGGGCAUGGUGGCGCAUGCCUGUAGUCCCAGCUACUCAGGAGGCUGAGGCAGGAGAAUUGCCUGAACCCAGGAGGCGGAGGUUGCGGUGAGCCGAGAUCGCGCCAUUGCACUCCAGCCUGGGUAACAAGAGUGAAACUCUGUCUCAAAAAAAAAAUAUAUUUUAACAUGAAACAUGUAUGUGUGUGUGUGUGUAUAUAUAUAUAUUCAUUUAUCCAUAAUGCUCUGUAGGACGAGGUCCUUCACUUAAGUAUGGGUCUUGAUAUUUUUCUUGCACAACUACAUCAAUAAUGCUUCAUAUGCAGUUUUCAGUUCAGAUUUCUCUAAUAUGGUUCAAGAACUUAAGACUUGUAGAAAAGUGCAAAUAAAAAAUCUUAUAAUUUUCUCCUCAUGCUUUAUAAUUGUUAUACCCAAACCAACAGCUUUUUUUGUAAACUGUCUAUCGAAUCUUUCUAAAGCAGACAACUUAGCUUCCAUGGAAACAAAGAUUCAUUCCUAUCACAUUAUUAUUUAUUGGCUUCAGUAAUAUUUGUUCAAGUUGCUUAGUUAUAAUAACAGUACAACUGUCAUAAAAAUGUUUAGGAGCAAGCACAACUAGAAAUUGGUAAGCAAACAACUCAUCUGGUAAAAGUGGAGUACAUGGUUAUGUAAGAGAGUAGCUCACAAGGUGAGUGCAUUUUUUUCUGCCGUAAGCAAUAGUCUGUAGGUUUCACAGAUGACAUGAGAGUUUGUAUAAACCCGGAGCGUUAUUUUAGAAGCAAAUGAAGAGAACUUCUACCAUAUGGAAACAAUGUGCACACAUGUAUGUAAAUUCACAUAUUUAUGUGUCUUUGUGUAUUGUAUUUAUCUUGUGUCUAGCCAUGUUACUCAAUUAAACAGAUGUUCUUUUUAAAAGCAUAUCUUAGAGCUUCUAAGUAUGUCAGCAUAUUAUCAGCAAAAAGAUAAUUUAAUCUCUUCUUUCCUAAAUUUAUAUUAUUUUCUUUCCUUAUCUUACUGUACCUGCUACAACCUCCAAAAUAAUAUUGAGUAAAUAAUGCUGAUGGUGAAUAUCCCAGUCUUUUUCCUGAUUUCAGUGGAAGUAUAUUUAGUGUUUGACUCUUUGGGAUAACAUCUGUUACUAGUUUUUUGGUAAGGUCUUAAUAUUUUAGGUGGUAAUUUUCUGUGGCAGAGACUGGCUAGAUGCUCACCCAUACAUUUUCCUUUCCUCCUCAGAACACAGAUCAACUACUUUUUCCAUUGCAGCUUAUGGUUGUGUAGACCCAACCUAACUGAAUGUUGAUCAGAAAAAUGUAGGUGGAAAAGAGAGAUCCCACUUCCAGUCCUAACCCUGGGCCUCCCACAUUAUUCUCCACCCUUCCUUCCUUUCUCUAUCAGUCCUAUGCAGUGGACCUGGGGCAUCUUCUAGGAUAUCUUUCUAGAAGAUGGAAAAGCUACUGACGGAAAGAGCCAUUACAAAAAGAGCCAUUUUUUACUGUGGAGCAUUACAUUUGCCAGAGAUUUUUUUGCAGAUACCCUUUAUUAGGUAGGCUAAGGAUGUUCUUUUCUAACCUUUUUGGAUAAGAGUAGUUUUUUUUUUUUUUAAUUAUGAGUAUUUGAAUGUCUGUGGGUAGGAAAGUUCCAUUGUUGUCCCAAACUGGAUUAUGACAUGAGGAAAAAUAACUUACUGUGUCAAGCCAAUGAGUUUUGGGGCUCUAUUUAAGACGAGUUAGCUUCUGCUGACUAAAACAUCUUCUAGUCAGAUAUUAUAGAGAGUUUUAAAUUGGGAUGACUGCUCAAUUUUUUCAAAUACCUUUUAAUCAUCUAUUUAUAUAAUCACUUUUUCCCCCACCAAUUUGCUGGCAUGAUGAAUUAUGUUGACAGGUUUCUUAAUAUUGAAACCAUCCCUGUAUUCUCCCAGAAUAAUCCUACUUGGUUAUAAUGUAAUUUUUUUAUUCUGAAAUAUUGUUUCUUAAAAUUGUAUCCAGAAUUUUUGCAGUUAUAGUCUUGUGAAGUCAUUCUAUAUUUUCCUUUGUUGUACUAUUUUUUUUAAAUCAGAUAUUCAGAUUAAUAUUUUCCUGGCUUUCUACAAUUAAAUGUGGAGCUUCCUGUGUUUUUCUAUUGUCUGGAAUGAUUUGAUUUUAAAAACAUUGAGCCAGGUGCAGUGGCUUGGUCUGUAAUCCCGGCUAUUUGGGAACCUGUGGCAGAAGGACAGCUUGAGUCCAAAAGUUCAAGACCAGACUCGGCAACAUAGCAGGACCCUAUCUCUAAAAAAUAAUAUUUAAAAAAUAAAUAAAUGAAAUAGCAUUGAAACAUCUGGCCCUGAUAUAUGAAAAGAGAUUAGUAUGUAUUUACUGUUUAUAAUUCUCAAUUUCUUUGUAACAAUGUAUCUCAUUUAGUUCUGCCUGUCUUUAAGCUUUAUAAAAACAAAAAGGUAUAUUUGUCUGUGACUUAUUUUACUCAAAAUGUUUUUCAGUUCAUUUAUUUUUCCUGUUGUGUAAUAUUCCCUUGUAUAAAUACACCAUCUUUUUAAAAAUCCAUUCCACUGAUUGCUUGGAUCGUUUCCAGGGUUUGCUAAUAUAAACAGUGAUAAUAGAAAUAUUUUUGUACAUAUCUUGUAGUGCAAGUUUCUCUAGUAGAAAUGGAAUGCUUCAUUGUAGAAUAUAUACGCAGUUGAUAGAUAAAAUGAAAAUGUUAGCCAACCUGAUUGAAGCAAUUUACACUUCAACUAACAGUUUCCAUUACUCCACAUCCUCCUUGCCAAUACAUGAUCUUAUUUAACUUUUACAUUUUUAUCAAUCUGUCAGGUAUAAAAUUGCAUCUCAUUGGAGUUUUUCAUAAUUACCAUUAAAAUUUAGUAUAUUUUCAUAUUCUUGGCCAUUAUAUAUUCUCCUGUGAAAUCAUAUCUUCUGCUCAUUUGUCUAUUAAUGUAUCCAUUUUGUUUAUGUAGGUCAGUGGUAGGUUUUUGAUAAAUAUUUUAAAGUUAAAUAUAAUCAAAUUUAUCAGGAUUUUUCUUCAGCAACUUUCAGAGGUUUACCUUUCACAUUUAUGUCUGUAAUAGAACUAAUUGUGUGCACACACCCGUGUAAAUGUACGCACAUAUUGGGGAGGGAAGGGAUCCAGUUCUUUUUCAUUUUUCUCUAUAUGGAUUAUUCAAGCUCUGUUUAUAUCGGGAACUCUCAUUUUCUCCACUCGUCUGCAAUGCCAGCUUUGCCAAAUAUCUCUUUGGGGCUCUCUUUUGUGUUCCAUUGGUUGAUUUGUCUAUCUCUCUGCACAUUGUGUAUUGUUUUAAUUCUUAUAGCUUAUGAUACCUAUUGAUAUCUGGGAUAAGACAGAUCUCAUUUGGGACAAGACUCUACAUUGUUCUUUAGAAGUAUCUUGGCUUAUGUAGAAAUAGGUCAAAGGGAAUAAAAAAGUAUUUUAUCGUAAAAAUUAGUUUAAAAGGUUGUUUGAAUUUUUCUUGAAUUUAUUGAGUUUGGGGAAAACUGACAU